Molecule: ribosomal RNA, 372 nt
Filed under: uncultured bacterium
Lineage: Bacteria
Description: bacterial SSU rRNA
Rfam family: Bacterial small subunit ribosomal RNA
Source: RNAcentral
AGAGGGUGCAAACGUUGCUCGGAAUCACUGGGCAUAAAGCGCACGUAGGCUGUCUCGUAAGUGUGGAGUGAAAUCCCACGGCUCAACCGUGGAACUGCUUGGCAUACUGCGAGACUCGAGGACGGUAGGGGAGAGCGGAACUCCUGGUGGAGCGGUGAAAUGCGUAGAUAUCAGGAGGAACACCGGUGGCGAAGGCGGCUCUCUGGUCCGUUUCUGACGCUGAUGUGCGAAAGCUAGGGUAGCGAACGGGAUUAGAUACCCCGGUAGUCUUAGCCGUAAACGAUGGGCACUAACUAGAGGUCCAUUCCUGUGGUAUCUCUGGUGAAGCUAAUGUGCUAAGUGCCCCGCCUGGGGAGUAUGGUCGCAAGGCUA